CUGGCUCAGGAUGAACGCUGGCGGCGUGCCUAAUACAUGCAAGUCGAGCGAACAGAUAAGGAGCUUGCUCCUUUGACGUUAGCGGCGGACGGGUGAGUAACACGUGGGUAACCUACCUAUAAGACUGGGAUAACUUCGGGAAACCGGAGCUAAUACCGGAUAAUAUUUCGAACCGCAUGGUUCGAUAGUGAAAGAUGGUUUUGCUAUCACUUAUAGAUGGACCCGCGCCGUAUUAGCUAGUUGGUAAGGUAACGGCUUACCAAGGCGACGAUACGUAGCCGACCUGAGAGGGUGAUCGGCCACACUGGAACUGAGACACGGUCCAGACUCCUACGGGAGGCAGCAGUAGGGAAUCUUCCGCAAUGGGCGAAAGCCUGACGGAGCAACGCCGCGUGAGUGAUGAAGGUCUUCGGAUCGUAAAACUCUGUUAUUAGGGAAGAACAUACGUGUAAGUAACUGUGCACGUCUUGACGGUACCUAAUCAGAAAGCCACGGCUAACUACGUGCCAGCAGCCG
This 516-nucleotide ribosomal RNA is filed under the name Staphylococcus haemolyticus. Its description in RNAcentral is "bacterial SSU rRNA". It matches the Rfam family "Bacterial small subunit ribosomal RNA", at positions 19 to 517 of the family's 1533-position model. The record is from RNAcentral. Lineage: Bacteria; Bacillati; Bacillota; Bacilli; Caryophanales; Staphylococcaceae.